AGUCCCGCGCCGUGGGCGCGAAGCCGGGUGAGCUAUCCCUGGGCAGGCUGAAGCGGGGGUAAGACCCCGUGGAGGGCCGAACGCACGUCGGUUGAAAACGGCGGCGAUGACCUGGGGAUAGGGGUGAAAGGCCAAUCAAACCCGGAGAUAUCUCGUUCUCCCCGAAAUAGCUUUAGGGCUAGCGUCGGGGGUUCACCGCAGGAGGUAGAGCACCGGACAGGUGAGGGGGCUUCGCCGCCUACCGAUCCCGACCGAACUCCGAAUGCCUGCGGCCCACACCCCGGCAGUCAGAGCAUGUGGGCUAAGCUGUGUGCUCGAGAGGGGAACAGCCCAGACCGCCCGCCAAGGCCCCUAAUUCCAGGUUGAGUGGCAAAGGAUGUCCGUCUGCGCAGACAGCCAGGAGGUUGGCUUAGAAGCAGCCACCCCUUCAAAGAGUGCGUAACAGCUCACUGGCCGAGUGGACGGGCGCCGACAAUACACGGGGCUAAACCUGGAGCCGAAGCGGCGGAUUCGGAGCGUAUGCUCCGUCUGGUAGGGGAGCGUCCCCGGUGGGGCGAAGCGGAGGGGCGACCCUCCGUGGACCGCCGGGGAGCGAGGAUGCUGGCAUGAGUAGCGAGAGACGCGAGGGUAACGCGUCCGCCGUGAACCCGAGGUUUCCUGGGCGAGGCUAAUCCCCCCAGGGUCAGUCGGGGGCUAAGGCGAGGCCGGCAGGCGUAGCCGAAGCGCAGCAGGCAGACAUUCCUGCACCGCAGAUGAGCGCUAUCGACCGAUGCGGCGACGGAUGGGGGUGGCUCGGCGGGGUUCUGGACGUCCCCGUGAUGGAGCGCGGCCCGGCAGGGAGUGAAGUACCCCUGCCACGAGGGUUAGGCUCCGGACGAAGCGACUGAGCGAAGCGAGUGAGCCCGUGGUCCCUAGAAAAACCGCUAGGCAGCGAUUCUGCGCCCGUACCGCAAACCGACACAGGUGGGUGGGUAGAACAUACCGAGGCGAUCGGGUCAACCAUGGUCAAGGAACUCGGCACAAUGGCCCCGUAACCUAGGGAGAAGGGGUGCCGGCGCGUACGUGAAGGGGCUCGCCCCCGGAGCGGAGGCCGGCCGCAGUGAAGAGGCCCAAGCGACUGUUUACCAAAAACACAGGACUCUGCAGAAGCCGCAAGGCGACGUAUAGGGUCUGACGCCUGCCCGGUGCCGGAAGGUCACGGGGAGGGGUUAGCUUACGCGAAGCCCCGAACCCAAGCCCCGGUAAACGGCGGCCGUAACUAUAACGGUCCUAAGGUAGCGAAAUUCCUUGUCGGGUAAGUUCCGACCUGCACGAAAGGCGCAACGACUUGGGCGCUGUCUCGACCGUGGACCCGGUGAAAUUGCACUGGUCGUGAAGAUGCGACCUACCCGCGGGAGGACGGAAAGACCCCGUGAACCUUCACUGCAGCUUGGCAUUGGCCGCUGCUCGGGAGUGUAGAGGAUAGGCGGGAGGCUGCGAUGCCGGGGCGCCAGCCCCGGCGGAGCCGACCUUGGAAUACCGCCCUCUCCCGUGCGGCGUCCUAACCCCCGGCCGUGAGCCGGCGGGGGGACCGUGCCAGGCGGGCAGUUUGACUGGGGCGGUCGCCUCCCAAAGGGUAACGGAGGCGCGCGAAGGUCCGCUCGGGACGGUCGGCAACCGUCCUCAAUGAGUGCAAGAGCGUAAGCGGGCUUGACUGCGAGACCCACGAGUCGAGCAGGUGCGAAAGCAGGCUCUAGUGAUCCGGCGGCUCCGCGUGGGCGGGCCGUCGCUCAACGGAUAAAAGGUACUCCGGGGAUAACAGGCUGAUCUUGCCCAAGAGUCCACAUCGACGGCAAGGUUUGGCACCUCGAUGUCGGCUCAUCGCAUCCUGGGGCCGGAGCAGGUCCCAAGGGUACGGCUGUUCGCCGUUUAAAGCGGUACGCGAGCUGGGUUCAGAACGUCGUGAGACAGUUCGGUCCCUAUCCCCCGCGGGCGCAGGAGAAUCGAGGGAGGCUGCCCCUAGUACGAGAGGACCGGGGUGGACGGACCUCCGGUGCACCGGUUGUCGACCAACGGCAUUGCCGGGUAGCCGCGUCCGGCGCGGAUAACCGCUGAAGGCAUCUAAGCGGGAAGCCGUUCCCGAGAUCAGUUCUCCUUCCGGUAAGGGCCGGGGUAGAACACCCCGUCGACAGGCCGCAGGUGCAAGGGUCGCGAGGCCCUCAGCCGAGCGGUGCUGAUCGCCCGAGCUCUUACCCC
This 2235-nucleotide ribosomal RNA is filed under the name Collinsella sp. An307. RNAcentral's name for it is "bacterial LSU rRNA". It matches the Rfam family "Bacterial large subunit ribosomal RNA", at positions 698 to 2925 of the family's 2925-position model. The record is from RNAcentral. Lineage: Bacteria; Bacillati; Actinomycetota; Coriobacteriia; Coriobacteriales; Coriobacteriaceae.